RNAcentral lists this ribosomal RNA (470 nucleotides) under uncultured Candidatus Scalindua sp. Its description in RNAcentral is "bacterial SSU rRNA". It matches the Rfam family "Bacterial small subunit ribosomal RNA", at positions 365 to 825 of the family's 1533-position model. Lineage: Bacteria; Pseudomonadati; Planctomycetota; Candidatus Brocadiia; Candidatus Brocadiales; Candidatus Scalinduaceae. The record is from RNAcentral.
UUCGCAAUGCCCGAAAGGGUGACGAAGCGACGCCGCGUGGGUGAGGAAGGCCUUCGGGUUGUAAAGCCCUGUCAGGAGUUAAGAAAUGUAGGUACGCUAAUAUCGUAUCUAUUUGACAAAGGCUCCAAAGGAAGCCACGGCUAACUCUGUGCCAGCAGCCGCGGUAAUACAGAGGUGGCAAGCGUUGUUCGGAAUUAUUGGGCGUAAAGAGCACGUAGGUGGAUUUGUAGGUCAGAUGUGAAAGCCUUCUGUUCAACGGAAGAAUUGCAUCUGAAACUACAAACCUUGAGUAUAGGAGGGGAGAAUGGAACUUCUGGUGGAGCGGUGAAAUGCGUAGAUAUCAGAAGGAACGCCGGCGGCGAAAGCGAUUCUCUGGCCUAUUACUGACACUCAGUGUGCGAAAGCUAGGGGAGCAAACGAGAUUAGAUACCCCGGUAGUCCUAGCCGUAAACGAUGGGCACAAUCACUAG